UGUCAUUCUAGAUACACUUUCCAGUACAUCUACUAUGUUACGACUUAUCUUACCUUAAUAAUAAGAGCGACGGGCGAUGUGUACAUAUUUUAGAGCUAAAAUCAAAUUAUUAAUCUUUAUAAUUUUACUACCAAAUCCACCUUCAAAAAUUUUUUCAUAAUUUUAUCCGUUUAAAUAAAUUUAUUGUAACCCAUUAUUACUUAAAUAUAAGCUACACCUUGAUCUGAUAUAAAUUUUAAUAAAAAUUAUUGAAUAUUAAUAUUCUUAUAAAAUAUUCUGAUAACGACGGUAUAUAAACUGAUUACAAACUUAAGUAAGGUCCAUCGUGGAUUAUCGAUUACAAAACAGGUUCCUCUGGAUAGACUAAAAUACCGCCAAAUUUUUUAAGUUUCAAGAACUUAACUAUUACUACUUAAGUAUUUAUAUUUACAUUUUAAAUAAUAGGGUAUCUAAUCC
This 456-nucleotide ribosomal RNA is filed under the name Drosophila virilis. RNAcentral describes it as "partial 12S ribosomal RNA". Lineage: Eukaryota; Metazoa; Arthropoda; Insecta; Diptera; Drosophilidae. The record is from RNAcentral.